CUUUUUGUUAGGUGAUGGCGUGCCUUUUGAAGAAUGAGCCUGCGAGUCAGCGGCAUGUCGCGAGGUUAACCCGUGUGGGGUAGUCGUAGCGAAAGCGAAUCCUAAUGAGGGUGUUUUUUUAGUGGCAUGUCCUGGACCCGAAGCGGGGUGAUCUACCCAUGGCCAGUGUGAAGCAGCUGUAAGAGGUUGUGGAGGCGCGAACCCACUUAGGUUGAAAACUGAGGGGAUGAGCUGUGGGUAGGGGUGAAAGGCCAAUCAAACUCCGUGAUAGCUGGUUCUCCCCGAAAUGCAUUUAGGUGCAGCGUUGUGUGUUUCUUGCUGGAGGUAGAGCUACUGGUUGGUUGAGCGGGACUACAAUCUUAGCAAUGUCAGCCAAACUCCGAAUGCCGGUAAUGUUAAGCAUGGCAGUGAGACUGCGGGGGAUAAGCUCCGUUGGUCGAGAGGGAAACAGCCCAGAUCGCCGGUUAAGGCCCCUAAGGGUGUACUAAGUGGAAAAGGAUGUGGGAUCGCGAAGACAGCCAGGAGGUUGGCUUAGAAGCAGCCAUCCUUGAAAGAGUGCGUAAUAGCUCACUGGUCGAGUGGUUCUGCGCCGACAAUGUAGUGGGGCUCAAGUACACCGCCGAAGCCGCGGCAGUCAACAAUGUGUUUUGUUGGUUGGGUAGGGGAGCGUCGUGCACUGCUGUGAAGCACCUGGGUGACUUGAUGGUGUGGAGUGUGUGCGAGUGAGAAUGCAGGCAUGAGUAACGAAUGAAAAGUGGAAAACUUUUCCGCCGGAUGACUAAGGGUUCCUGGGUUAAGCUAAUCUUCCCAGGGUGAGUCGGGACCUAAGGCGAGGCCGACAGGCGUAGUCGAUGGAUAACCAGUUGAUAUUCUGGUACCCGUGUAUGUGCGCCCAGUGGUGAAUCAGUGGUACUAACCAUCCAUUGAUCUGCUGGUCAUGCUUUGUGUGUGGUUGGUGGUGAUGUGCGUGGGAUCUUCGUUGGUAGUAGCCAAGUGAUGGGGUGACGCAGUGAGGUAGCCGAGCCAUUUAUUGGAUUGUGGUGUAAGCGUGUGGCCCGUGGCAUAGGUAAAUCCGUGUCGCAUAUUUGGGUGAGGCGUGAUGCGUAGACCUUUGUGGUUGAUGUUGGUGAUCCUGUACUGUCGAGAAAAGCCUCUAGCGAGUGCAUAUAUGGCCCGUACCCAUAACCGACACAGGUGGUCAGGUAGAGAAUACUAAGGCGAUCGGGUGAACUGUGGUUAAGGAACUCGGCAAAUUGCCCCCGUAACUUCGGGAGAAGGGGGACCAUUGCUGGUGACCGACGUGGUUGAGCUGGUGGUGGUCGCAGAGAAUAGAGGGAAGCGACUGUUUAUUAAAAACACAGGUCCGUGCGAAAACGUGGAAGUUGAUGUAUACGGACUGACGCCUGCCCGGUGCUGGAAGGUUAAGAGGACCUGUUAGGGCAUUUUUUGUCCGAAGCGGAGAAUUUAAGCCCCAGUAAACGGCGGUGGUAACUAUAACCAUCCUAAGGUAGCGAAAUUCCUUGUCGGGUAAGUUCCGACCUGCACGAAUGGCGUAACGACUUCCCUGCUGUCUCAACCACAGGCCCGGUGAAAUUGCAGUACGAGUAAAGAUGCUCGUUACGCGCGGCAGGACGAAAAGACCCCGGGACCUUCACUAUAGCUUGGUAUUGGUGUUUGGUUCGGUUUGUGUAGGAUAGGUGGGAGACUGUGAAGUGGUCACGCUAGUGGUUGUGGAGUCGAAAGUUGAAAUACCACUCUGAUCGGAUUGAGCACCUUAACCUUGGCCCAUGAUCUGGGUUGGGGACAGUGCCUGGUGGGUAGUUUAACUGGGGCGGUUGCCUCCUAAAGUGUAACGGAGGCGCCCAAAGGUUCCCUCAGCCUGGUUGGCAAUCAGGUGGUGAGUGUAAGUGCACAAGGGAGCUUGACUGUGAGACUGACAGGUCGAGCAGGGACGAAAGUCGGGACUAGUGAUCCGGCACCUACUUGUGGAAGUGGUGUCGCUCAACGGAUAAAAGGUACCCCGGGGAUAACAGGCUGAUCUUCCCCAAGAGUCCAUAUCGACGGGAUGGUUUGGCACCUCGAUGUCGGCUCGUCGCAUCCUGGGGCUGGAGUAGGUCCCAAGGGUUGGGCUGUUCGCCCAUUAAAGCGGCACGCGAGCUGGGUUUAGAACGUCGUGAGACAGUUCGGUCUCUAUCCGCCGCGCGCGUUGAAACUUGAAGAAGGCUGUCCCUAGUACGAGAGGACCGGGACGGACGUACCUCUAGUGUGCCAGUUGUCACGCCAGUGGCAGGGCUGGUUGGCUACGUACGGGAGGGAUAACCGCUGAAAGCAUCUAAGCGGGAAGCCUGUUUUGAGAUGAGGUUUCUUUUGAGGUUCCCUCUAGACUAGGGGGUUGAUAGGCCAGAUCUGGAAGCGUAGUAAUGCGUUAAGGUGACUGGUACUAAUUUUACCGAGUAAUAACAGUGU
This 2466-nucleotide ribosomal RNA is filed under the name Corynebacterium diphtheriae bv. gravis. RNAcentral's name for it is "partial 23S ribosomal RNA". It matches the Rfam family "Bacterial large subunit ribosomal RNA", at positions 581 to 2925 of the family's 2925-position model. The record is from RNAcentral. Lineage: Bacteria; Bacillati; Actinomycetota; Actinomycetes; Mycobacteriales; Corynebacteriaceae.